CUGAGUUAGGGUCUCUACUCGAGCCCGACCUCCAACCCUUUGCUUACUUGACCUUUUUGUUGCUUCGGCAGGCCCGCCCCGUAAAACGGGCCGCCGGGGGGGUUAAUUCACCCCUGGCCCGCGCCUGUCGAUGGCCCAACUCAAACUCUUGUUAAUAACGUGUCGUCUGAGUAAAAAACAAAAUAAAUAA
RNAcentral lists this unclassified non-coding RNA (190 nucleotides) under uncultured Chaetothyriales. RNAcentral's name for it is "sequence contains ITS1". The record is from RNAcentral. Lineage: Eukaryota; Fungi; Ascomycota; Eurotiomycetes; Chaetothyriales.